Molecule: ribosomal RNA, 253 nt
Filed under: uncultured bacterium
Lineage: Bacteria
Description: partial 16S ribosomal RNA
Rfam family: Bacterial small subunit ribosomal RNA
Source: RNAcentral
UACGGGGGGGGCAAGCGUUGUUCGGAAUUACUGGGCGUAAAGGGCUCGUAGGCGGCCAACUAAGUCGGAUGUGAAAUCCCCGGGCUUAACCUGGGAACUGCAUUUGUGACUGCAUAGCUAGAGUACGGUAGAGGGGGAUGGAAUUCCGCGUGUAGCAGUGAAAUGCGUAGAUAUGCGGAGGAACACCGAUGGCGAAGGCAAUCCCCUGGACCUGUACUGACGCUCAUGCACGAAAGCGUGGGGAGCAAACAGG